This 1472-nucleotide ribosomal RNA is filed under the name uncultured Bacteroidota bacterium. Its description in RNAcentral is "uncultured Bacteroidetes bacterium 16S ribosomal RNA". It matches the Rfam family "Bacterial small subunit ribosomal RNA". Lineage: Bacteria; Pseudomonadati; Bacteroidota. The record is from RNAcentral.
GGGUUUGAUCCUGGCUCAGGAUGAACGCUAGCGGCAGGCCUGACACAUGCAAGUCGAGGGGUAAGUCUCGCUUCGGCGGGAACACGACCGGCGCACGGGUGAGUAACGCGUAUGCAACCUACCUUCAACUGGGAGAUAGCUCCCGGAAACGGGGAUUAAUAUCCCAUAGUGUUUUUUUUCGGCAUCGUAAAAAAAUUAAAGCUCCGGCGGUUGAAGAUGGGCAUGCGUGACAUUAGCUAGUUGGUAAGGUAACGGCUUACCAAGGUUACGAUGUCUAGGGGGUCUGAGAGGAUGAUCCCCCACACUGGUACUGAGACACGGACCAGACGUCUACGGACGGCAGCAGUGAGGAAUAUUGGGCAAUGGACGAAAGUCUGACCCAGCCAUGCCGCGUGCAGGAUGACAGCCCUAUGGGUUGUAAACUGCUUUUCUGCGAGAAGAAACUUUCCGACGUGUCGGAAAUUGACGGUAUUGCAAGAAUAAGCAUCGGCUAACUCCGUGCCAGCAGCCGCGGUAAUACGGAGGAUGCAAGCGUUAUCCGGAUUUAUUGGGUUUAAAGGGUGCGUAGGCGGGAGAUUAAGUCAGUGGUGAAAUCCUGCAGCUUAACUGUAGAAUUGCCAUUGAUACUGAUUUCCUUGAGUGUAGUUGAGGUGGGCGGAAUGUGUAUUGUAGCGGUGAAAUGCAAAGAUAAUACACAGAACACCUAUUGCGAAGGCAGCUCACUAAACUAAUACUGACGCUGAGGCACGAAAGCGUGGGGAGCGAACAGGAUUAGAUACCCUGGUAGUCCACGCUGUAAACGUUGAUUACUCGAUGUGUGCGAUACACUGUACGCAUCUGAGCAAAAGCAUUAAGUAAUCCACCUGGGGAGUACGAUCGCAAGAUUGAAACUCAAAGGAAUUGACGGGGGCCCGCACAAGCGGUGGAGCAUGUGGUUUAAUUCGACAAUAAGCGAGGAACCUUACCAAGGCUUGACAUCCCGGGAAUUCUGCAGAAAUGCGGAAGUGCCUUCUGGAACCCGGUGACAGGUGCUGCAUGGUUGUCGUCAGCUCGUGCCUUGAGGUGUUCGGUUAAGUCCGUGAACGAGCGCAACCCUUGUUCUAUGUUGUAUUUUUCAUAGAAGACUGCCUCGCAUAACGAGGAGGAAGGUAAGGAUGACGUCAAAUCAGCAUGGCCCUUAUGCCUUGGGCUACACACGUGCUACAAUGGCCGGUACAGAGGGUAGCAAUACCGUAAGGUGGAGCCAAUCCCUAAAACCGGUCUCAGUUCGAAUUGAGGGCUGCAAUUCGCCCUCAUGAAGUUGGAAUCGCUAGUAAACGCGUAUCAGCAAUGGCGCGUUGAAUAUGUUCCUGGGUCUUGUACACACCGCCCGUCACAUCACGAAAGGUGGGGGUGCCCGAAGUCCCGUUACCGCAAGGGGCGGGCCUAAGGCAAAACCACUGAUUGGGAUGAAGUCGUAACAAGGUAGCCGU